This 462-nucleotide ribosomal RNA is filed under the name uncultured bacterium. Its description in RNAcentral is "bacterial SSU rRNA". It matches the Rfam family "Bacterial small subunit ribosomal RNA", at positions 917 to 1382 of the family's 1533-position model. The record is from RNAcentral.
GGGCCCGCACAAGCGGUGGAGCAUGUGGUUUAAUUCGAAGCAACGCGAAGAACCUUACCAGGGCUUGACAUCCCUUGACCGCUGUAGAGAUACAGCUUUCCUUCGGGACAAGGAGACAGGUGGUGCAUGGUUGUCGUCAGCUCGUGUCGUGAGAUGUUGGGUUAAGUCCCGCAACGAGCGCAACCCUUGCCUUUAGUUGCCAUCAUUAAGUUGGGCACUCUAGAGGGACUGCCGGCGAUAAGUCGGAGGAAGGUGGGGAUGACGUCAAAUCAUCAUGCCCCUUAUGUCCUGGGCUACACACGUGCUACAAUGGUCUAUACAGAGGGCAGCGAAGUGGUGACACGGAGCGAAUCCCAGAAAAUAGAUCUCAGUUCGGAUUGUAGGCUGCAACUCGCCUACAUGAAGUCGGAAUCGCUAGUAAUCGCAGGUCAGCAUACUGCGGUGAAUACGUUCCCGGGCCUU